Cyprinus carpio (common carp) is the source of this 1030-nucleotide long non-coding RNA. Lineage: Eukaryota; Metazoa; Chordata; Actinopteri; Cypriniformes; Cyprinidae. The record is from Ensembl.
AAAUGUGUACGAGUUUCUUUCUUCUGUGGAAAACAAAGGCAGAUAUUUUGUAGAAGUGUCCUAGCUGCUCUUUUCCAUAACAAAAGAGGAUGUUAAACUCCAAAAUGGACAAAAAAAGGCACUUAUAAUGUGCUAUUUCAAGCCUGCUUUGGUAUCAAAACAUAACAUUGAACACUACUGCAGCUCUUAAAUUUAAUUUACACUAAUCUACAUUCAGGUAUGGCAAGUUAAGUCACAUUGCAUCAGAUUUGACAUCAGUAUAAAUGAACUGAUCACAGGACAUGAAAGAAGCAAUAAAAUUAGAUGACAUUUCUCUUCUUUCGCAUUUUGGGAGAACUAUUUCUCCAGCAAUAAAGAGAAACAGACAAGAAGUACAGCCAAAUUAAAGGGACUGCAUUUCCACACAUCUGAUUUUUAUCCCUUAAAAUGCAUUAAAUGUACUCUUUAUUUUCUUUCAUGAUGUGGCAAUUUCCUGAUAUUAUCUGAACUGAUUAAACCUCCUUAAUCUCAAACAGGAAACUACUUUGCUUUUAAUGACCGCGUAGGAGGCAUCAUGGGAUAUGGAGUCCAUUUCAACAAUGAAACUUGUUAAAUAAUUGAGAUGAAGGGGGAGGAGAGAGAACGAGAGACACACACAGGACUCGUUGGCUCAGAUCAAUGCGAUGAUCUGCUGUUGUGUGUGUGUUGUGAAGGGGAAGUAAUUAAAUUGUAAUGAGUGUUGAUCUGUUUAGAGACCCUGAACAGGCUGCAGCACUUUCCUCAAGACACUGAAACCAACAACCUUCACCCACACACAAGAUGGCAGAGAGGAAGAGACAAAGAGGAGGAAGGAACACAGAAAGAACUGUCUGGAGUAUCAGGCGGAGCUGUCCGUGGUGCUGACGAGAGAGAGACUCCGCGCUCGUGCUCACGGUGCUGCUCAGCCAUAAACACACCGAGUGCGCGAGAGCGAUGUGCAACGCACUCACGACUCCCCUUUAAAACAGACCGAAGGCAAAGGUAAGAAGGUUUUUGUAUUUAAACACUCAUU